This 635-nucleotide ribosomal RNA is filed under the name uncultured Geobacteraceae bacterium. Its description in RNAcentral is "bacterial SSU rRNA". It matches the Rfam family "Bacterial small subunit ribosomal RNA", at positions 1 to 604 of the family's 1533-position model. The record is from RNAcentral. Lineage: Bacteria; Pseudomonadati; Thermodesulfobacteriota; Desulfuromonadia; Geobacterales; Geobacteraceae.
AUUACCCMCSCCSSCCGCMAGUGUGAKAGRAWAUYKUGYWKYRWKKSGCCCUUAGAGUUUGAUCCUGGCUCAGAACGAACGCUGGCGGCGUGCCUAACACAUGCAAGUCGAACGUGAUCCAGAGCUUGCUCUGGUGAAAGUGGCGCACGGGUGAGUAACGCGUGGAUAACCUACCCUGGUAUCCGGGAUAACAUUCCGAAAGGGGUGCUAAUACCGGAUAAGCCCACGGGCUCUUUGGAGCUUGCGGGAAAAGGUGGCCUCUAUUUAUAAGCUACUGUAUCAGAUGGGUCCGCGUACCAUUAGCUAGUUGGCGGUGUAACGGACCACCAAGGCGACGAUGGUUAGCUGGUCUGAGAGGAUGAUCAGCCACACUGGACUGAGACACGGUCCAGACUCCUACGGGAGGCAGCAGUGAGGAUUUUGCGCAAUGUGGAACCUGACGCAGCACGCCGCGUGAGUGAUGAUGCUUGGUCGUAAGCUCUGUCAGAGGGAGAAUGAUAUAGUGCUAUACACUUAUCUGACGUACCUCAAGAGCACGCUACUCGUGCAGCAGCGCGUAUACAGCGAUCAGCACACUGCGCAGUACUAGUGAUCGAGCUCGUACAGCUGCGUAUCAUGUCAUASUGGGUCGUGAG